RNAcentral lists this ribosomal RNA (944 nucleotides) under uncultured bacterium. RNAcentral's name for it is "bacterial SSU rRNA". It matches the Rfam family "Bacterial small subunit ribosomal RNA", at positions 58 to 1033 of the family's 1533-position model. The record is from RNAcentral.
CAAGUCGAACGAGAAAGUGGAGCAAUCCAUGAGUAAAGUGGCGCACGGGUGAGUAACACGUGACUAACCUACCCUUGAGUGGGGAAUAACCUAGGGAAACCUGGGCUAAUACCGCAUAACACCUACGGGUCAAAGGAGCAAUUCGCUUAAGGAGGGGGUCGCGGCAGAUUAGCUAGUUGGCGGGGUAAUGGCCCACCAAGGCGGUGAUCUGUAUCCGGCCUGAGAGGGCGCACGGACACACUGGAACUGAAACACGGUCCAGACUCCUACGGGAGGCAGCAGUGGGGAAUUUUGCGCAAUGGGGGAAACCCUGACGCAGCAACGCCGCGUGGAGGAUGAAGUCCCUUGGGACGUAAACUCCUUUCGAUCGGGACGAUUAUGACGGUACCGGAGGAAGAAGCCCCGGCUAACUUCGUGCCAGCAGCCGCGGUAAUACGAGGGGGGCAAGCGUUGUUCGGAAUUAUUGGGCGUAAAGGGUGCGUAGGCGGUUCGGUAAGUCUUAUGUGAAAUCUUCAGGCUCAACUUGAAGUCUGCAUGAGAAACUGCCGGGCUUGAGUGUGGGAGAGGUGAGUGGAAUUUCCGGUGUAGCGGUGAAAUGCGUAGAUAUCGGAAGGAACACCUGUGGCGAAAGCGGCUCACUGGACCAUAACUGACGCUGAUGCACGAAAGCUAGGGGAGCAAACAGGAUUAGAUACCCUGGUAGUCCUAGCCCUAAACGAUGAUCGCUUGGUGUGACGGGUACCCAAUCCCGCCGUGCCGAAGCUAACGCGUUAAGCGAUCCGCCUGGGGAGUACGGUCGCAAGGCUGAAACUCAAAGGAAUUGACGGGGCCCGCACAAGCGGUGGAGCAUGUGGUUUAAUUCGACGCAACGCGAAGAACCUUACCUGGGCUCGAAAUGUACAGGAAUCCGGUGGAAACAUCGGCGGCCCGCAAGGGGCCUGUAU